AACGCACCUUGCGCUCCUUGGUAUUCCGAGGAGCAUGCCUGUUUGAGUGUCUUGAAAUCAUCAACCCCGUCCGGCUUUGCGCGGGACUCGGGCUGGAUUUGGGGGCCUGUUUGCUGCCGAAAGGUGGCUCCCCUGGAAUGCUUCGGUUGGGCCUGUGGGUCGAACUCGACUGGGCGUUGUAUCAUCCUCGCUCGACAGAGACCGUUCCCCUCUGGUGCCUCAGCCUCGACCGCCUCGUGUGGCGGUCAAGCUUGAAAACCUGAAAUCUGACCUCAAAUCAGGUAGGACUACCCGCUGAACUUAA
RNAcentral lists this unclassified non-coding RNA (304 nucleotides) under uncultured fungus. RNAcentral's name for it is "sequence contains ITS2". The stretch from base 1 to 52 matches the Rfam family "5.8S ribosomal RNA", at positions 103 to 154 of the family's 154-position model. The record is from RNAcentral. Lineage: Eukaryota; Fungi.